Molecule: RNA transcript, 5323 nt
Organism: Sorghum bicolor (sorghum)
Lineage: Eukaryota; Viridiplantae; Streptophyta; Magnoliopsida; Poales; Poaceae
Gene name: probable histidine kinase 1
Exons: 14
Source: RefSeq, a predicted model, not a curated record
UCGUCACAUGGCCGCUGCGCCCCCCCGCCCCCCGCUCGCGGCCAUUAGAUCCUCCUCUGCAAACUCCACCCUCUUCCUCCGACCCUCGCCUCUGCUCCUGCUCCCCGUCGCAUUGACCUUCCUGCUCCUCUGCUCGCCUACAGCUCCGCUCCACGCCGCUCCGUCCGUCGAGGCCGUGACGACUCGCCGCGGGACGGCGUCUCUCCGAGCUGCGCCUUGUUCUUCCAGAUAAGGAGCAGCUUCUGAUUCUCGCUCUCUCAUUGGUUAUUCAGUGGAACUGUUAUGCUACCGGUUAUAUCAUUUUCAGAGAACAAGGAGCAUAGAAGUUUCAGUCAUGGAUUAAUGUUAUCAGCUAUAGUCAGCAACAUCAUCUGUUGGGUUCAACAGUCAACUGAUGUGUGAGUAAAAUUUCAACGUGAACAGAAAACCGUGCUGAUUAUCGAGAAAGAUGGGGGACAACUACGUAGCUGAACCUGAGGACGAGGUUCCACAAUCAAUGUGGCCUGAGAAUAUAGGAGACAAACAUCAGAGGCAGUUCAGAAUGGAAAACUUUAGGAAGGACCAAGAUGCUUUCAAGGAUGUGAAGUUUGAUGAAAAGCCUGUUCAUGUGGAUUACCAGCGGCUUAUUGAAAUGGCAAAUUCUGAGAAAGGUAUUUCUCAGAUGCAAUACUUUAUGAAGCACUGGGAAUAUAAGAGAGCCAAUGCUGCUCGGCUUCUGGAGGAAGAGCUCGGUCUUCUCUGCCAACAAAGGAAAGAGAUUGAGCAAAAUAAGCAACAAAUCUUGGAAGAACAACGUUUUCAGGAUGAGAGUUAUUAUGCUGUAAAGCGGCAUGUACCGAUACUGGAUGAAGUUUAUGAAGAUGAAUGGAAGCGACCUAGCAAAAAGAAUGACGAUCUUUCUCGUAGUAGAGAGACUAAAAUAGAUGCAGAUUAUGACAGUGUUUCCUACUGGAAAGAGCGGGCAACUAAGUUAGAGGAAAAACUUGAGGAAAGCAUCCAAAGGGAGCGUUCUUUAGUUGAGAAAUUGGAGGAAAAUAUAAAGAACCUGCAGUCACACACACCAGCUGAGGAAUUCUCUGGAAUGCUAAAACGCGCUGAUUACUUCUUGCAUUUGGUUCUACAAAGUGCUCCUAUUGUUAUUGCUCAUCAGGAUGCUGAUUUACGGUACCGUUUCAUAUUUAACCACUAUCCAACACUUGCUGAUGAGGAUGUUAUUGGUAAGACAGACUAUGAGAUAUUGUCAGGUGAGGGUAUAGAAGAGAUGAAUAGUGUCAAGCGAGAAGUUAUGGCCACGGGAAUAGCAACUAAAAGAGAAUUUGCGUUUAAUACACCAAUGUUUGGGGCAAAGACAUUUGUGACAUACAUUGAGCCAGUUUUCAGCAAAGGUGGGGAAACGAUUGGCGUGAAUUAUGUUGCAAUGGACAUAACAGAUCAGGUCAAAAGAAGAGAGAAAAUGGCAGACAUAAGGGUGAGGGAAGCUGUCCAAAAUGCCAAGGAAACCGAACUUAGCAAAUCUCUUCACAUAACAGAGGAAACAAUGCGAGCAAAACAAAUGCUAGCUACCAUGUCCCAUGAGAUCAGAUCUCCUCUUUCAGGUGUUCUUAGCAUGGCUGAAAUUCUUGCAACUACCAAACUGGAUAAAGAACAACAUCAGUUGCUUGAAGUUAUGUUAUCCUCUGGAGAUCUUGUAUUGCAGCUGAUCAAUGACAUCCUUGAUCUUUCCAAAGUGGAGUCAGGGGCCAUGAAACUAGAAUCUACGACAUUUAGACCAAGGGAAGUAGUUAAACAUGUACUCCAAACUGCCGCGGCUUCUCUAAAGAAGGAAUUGACCCUUGAAGGGUGCAUAGGUGAUGAUGUUCCAGUGGAGGUUAUUGGUGAUGUGCUAAGGAUUCGGCAAAUUCUGACCAACUUGAUCAGCAAUGCAGUCAAGUUUACACAUGAAGGGAAAGUUGGAAUAAUUCUUCAGGUCGUGCAUGACAAGCAACCAGGAUGCAAAAUAGAGGGCGGGAAAAUUCAUAAGCGAGCAUAUUCUGGGACAGCAAUUACUGCUGUAGAAACUGCUGUUGUCUCUCCAAGAAAUUGUGAUAAAGAUAAUUUGCAUUGCUCGAAACAUGAAGAUGCUUUUCAGAAUGGUGUUCCAACAUGUGAAAAUUUCAAGGAGGAUAUUGAGGGAGAGGAAGUCGUUUGGCUUCGCUGUGAUGUAUAUGACACUGGAAUAGGAAUACCAGAGAAGUCCUUACCAUUGCUGUUCAAGAGGUAUAUGCAAGCUAGCACCGAUCAUGCGAGGAAGUAUGGUGGGACAGGGCUUGGCCUUGCAAUCUGCAAGCAGUUGGUGGAGUUGAUGGGUGGUACACUGACUGUGGUCAGCAAAGAGAAUGAAGGAUCAACAUUUACAUUUGUGCUGCCUUGUAAAAUCCCUGUAAAAGAGGAGCAUAGUGAUGAUCCUGAUGAAGUGCACAGUUCUCAGAAUGAUUCUGCAAACAGCGAUAUAGAAGGUUCUUUCUUUUUUAAGCCACAAAUGCGAGCUUCUCUUCUGUCUCCUGGAGUUUCAAUAAUGAACAACACAAAGUUAUUUGGUGCCAAGCUUAUGUGCUAUGAUCCGCCGGACAAAUUGUUCUCAAAUGGUUUCUCAUCAACGGAACCUAAUUUUACAAAUACCUCUACUGCUCACCAACCUAAUGGUGAUACUGUUAGGAGCACAGCUGAAGAAGAACAUGAUAAUGCAAUGGUCCUUGAACUGAAUAGUCAAGCUGAACGGGUUUCCAGUUCCCGAGGAGACUUGGUAUCUGUUUCAGGUGCUGCUCCAUGCAAAGUUCUUGAAGAACAGUCAUUCCACAAGAAAUCAAAGUGUUCUCCAACCAGCAACAAAGCAAAGAUCCUCCUAGUUGAAGAUAACAAGGUCAACAUAAUAGUGGCAAAAUCAAUGCUGGAGCAGCUGGGCCAUGCAAUAGAUAUCGUAAAUAAUGGGAUGCAAGCAAUCCGUGCAGUACAGCAGCACCAAUAUGAUCUUAUUCUGAUGGAUGUUCACAUGCCAGAAAUGGAUGGCCUACAAGCCACUAAACAUAUCCGUUCUUUUGAGAAUACCGGCUGUUGGGACGUUUCUGUAAAGCCUGAAGACAAUCAGAUGAUAACUGACUCAACUAUUUCAUCAGAUUCUGCACAUGCAAAAAAGCAAGGGCAGAGGGUUCCUAUAAUUGCGAUGACAGCAAAUUCAUUCGCAGAGAGUUCCGAGGAAUGCCUUGCUGCAGGCAUGGAUUCCUACAUAUCUAAGCCUGUGAACUUUCAGAAUAUAAAAGAAUGCCUGCAGCGGUAUUUAAUGUCUCAAUGACUAACCAACUGUUGUAAAGUAGAAAGGUAAUCUGUAGAUUAGGAAAGUUUUGUGAAAUCACCUAUCAGUCCGUUUCUUGUAAAUCAAUCCGUAAUAAAUAUAGCGAAUCCUGUCUUGUCGACCAUUCUACCUUUACUACUGGGAGACAGAGACAGAGCUCUAUUUUGGAGAGCAUCCUGAAUCUGACCUAACCCCACCAGUAAGAUCAAGAGCUGACUCUAAACUUUAGGAUCCUCAUUUGUUUACGAGACAUAUUCCUGUAUAUAAUUGUUAUGGAGGUUCUUAUCCUUUAGCAGUCAGUAUUCUAUCUGUAUCAUAAUUGAUGAGCAACAUGGGUUUUAUGAUGAUGUGAUGGAGAAGCAAAGAUGAUCCUACAGGCUACAGCUGCAGAUCGAAUAAAGAUUUUGUUCUGGUUUCAGCAUUGUUUAUUCCUGCUCUGGCAGUGCUGGUGUCACUAGCAGCAGUGUUGAAAGGAGCACACAGAAAGGGACGUCCCAAUUGCAUGCAUAAAGCUCUGCUCUUUUCUCUUCAUGCCUGGGGAAAGUUGUUUAUCCCAGCAGCGCUGAGCAGUUCAGCACAAGGGCUGCUAGGGUUGGGGCUGAUGUAUCAUGGAACAGGCUUGUGGUAGCUUUCAUGCAUUGCCCUUGUUCCUGCAACCAGGUUCGUUGGCUUGACCAUGAUGCAGCCAGUCACAAGAAAGAGCUGCAUAUCAGCAGUUCUUUCUGCCAGUGAUGACUUUGCAUUGUGCCAAUCUUCAGUUACCAAAGGGGGUUCAGGAUGAUGGCAUAUGCGUGUUUUAUAAUGGAUGGAUGGAUCUCUUUCUCAUUCACUGGCUCUGGCUGAAUAAGCAGGCCUUCUGCAACAUGUGCUGCAACUGCAAAGCGAGAUAAUCCAUUCCCUUUCCCAGCAUAUCUGAAGUCUGCUUAUUCUGUAGAUAUUUCUGUUAUUUUACCCCCAGAAAAUAUCAAUGACCGAUCAAGAGCUGGAACUCUGAAUCAGUGUGUCCUGUGCUGCCAGAUUAUGGGACUGUUGAUGCUGGUAUCUUCUGAAGCAUCAGAUUCAGAUGCUCGCCAUCAUCGUCAGGAAUUCACCAAGGGCAGCCGACGAAUCCCUCAGGUUCCUCCUCUGCCCUGACGUUGGGUUGCUCUCACUACCUGAGCACAGUGACCAGUGGGGGAGAGGAGGAUUCCUACACUGCACAAGCACAAAUCCAAGCAGAUCGAGCAGCACAGAAUCUGAAGCCCACAGGUGGACUGGAGGCUGCUGCUGGGUAGCUUGUAAACUGUGGGCAUAUAUGGACAGUUUUGCCCAUUUGAUCCCCUGGUAUCGACCAAUGCGGCGUCGACACGUCACUGUGGAAGGAUGACUGACGCUUAAGAGGUUCAUGUAUGUGAAUGCAGAUUCAGCUCGCUGAGAAAAAGUGGAAAUAUGCCGUUGGAUCAUUGGAUGGUGACACUACUGCAGGAUUCCCUUACCGUUUAGCUUGCCUUCAUGUAGUAGGAUUCUGGUGUUGUUAAUCCGCAUCAACUGGCUCUCGUCAGGUUGUGUUAUUGCGGCUGCUUACUGCAGCACAACUUGUAGCCCCUGGUGCUGUGUGUCGACACGCGCUAGUAAUCCGUGGAGAGUGAUGUAUCAAUGGCACUUAUCUCGGAUGUCAGCAGGCUACUGCGUGUGCUGUGGACAUACUGAUGCAAUCAAAGAGUGCACCUCCAACUUCAAAUUGAUGUCUGACAUGUGAGGAUGUUCAUUUACAAUAACUCUUUGGUGGAAGGUUAGGAGGUGGUUCAUGGUGCCACAAGAAGGUUGUGGGCUCGUGGCCGAGCAACACGACGAAGUUUGGUUCCUUGCCCAGGCAAUGCAAGGUUGUCUCGUCAGACAAUACUAUCCAUUUUAAGUGUCUGACAGUAAAGAUCGCUAUCUGGCCGAUAGGCAUCGGUUGUCAUAAAAAAAAAACCAUGCUGAUUUGGCAAGACUAAUAAAUUUAUGCAUUUUAUA